ACCGGCUUUCACCAGCAUGUCAAGCCCAGGUAAGGUUCUUCGCGUUGCUUCGAAUUAAACCACAUGCUCCACCGCUUGUGCGGGCCCCCGUCAAUUCCUUUGAGUUUCGGCCUUGCGACCGUACUCCCCAGGCGCAGGACUUAACGCGUUAGCUACGGGACGCACCCCGACGGGAUGCACCCCAAGUCCUGAUGGUUUAGGGCUAGGACUAC
RNAcentral lists this unclassified non-coding RNA (212 nucleotides) under uncultured Terriglobia bacterium. RNAcentral's name for it is "uncultured Acidobacteriia bacterium contains 16S-23S intergenic spacer region". The record is from RNAcentral. Lineage: Bacteria; Pseudomonadati; Acidobacteriota; Terriglobia.